Molecule: ribosomal RNA, 301 nt
Filed under: uncultured bacterium
Lineage: Bacteria
Description: partial 16S ribosomal RNA
Rfam family: Bacterial small subunit ribosomal RNA
Source: RNAcentral
CAGUAGCCGCGGUAAUACGUAGGGGGCAAGCGUUGUCCGGAAUUAUUGGGCGUAAAGCGCGCGCAGGCGGUUUAUACAGUCAGAUGUGAAAUUCCUGGGCUCAACCUGGGGACUGCAUUUGAUACGUAUGGACUUGAGUGGAGGAGAGGGUCGUGGAAUUUCCAGUGUAGAGGUGAAAUUCGUAGAUAUUGGAAAGAACACCGGUGGCGAAGGCGGCGACCUGGCCUUUAACUGACGCUGAGGCGCGAAAGCGUGGGGAGCAAACAGGAUUAGAUACCCCCGUAGUCCCUGUCUCUUAUAC